ACGCGUUGCUCCCGAGGCCGAAGGGCCCAGAGAGCUCCAGCCAGGCAGCGGGUUCGUCUCCGGCGCAAGAAGGCUGUGUGACGACACAUCAAGAAGGUGACCACCUGCAAGCCAGGAACAGAGCGCUCACUGUGGAACUGAAUUGGCUGCUACCUUGAUCUUGGACUUCCCAGCUCCCAGACUGUAAGAAAUAAAUUUUUAUUGUUUGAGCCA
Homo sapiens (human) is the source of this 213-nucleotide long non-coding RNA. RefSeq lists it as uncharacterized. The record is from RefSeq and is a predicted model, not a curated record. Lineage: Eukaryota; Metazoa; Chordata; Mammalia; Primates; Hominidae. The transcript has 2 exons.